Schizosaccharomyces pombe (fission yeast) is the source of this 1355-nucleotide non-coding RNA. NCBI's taxonomy places the organism in Eukaryota, Fungi, Ascomycota, Schizosaccharomycetes, Schizosaccharomycetales, Schizosaccharomycetaceae. The record is from the annotation of a GenBank genome assembly.
AACAGACUUCUUAAUGAUCAGAAUAUAUAAAGCAUCGUGCACUACGAACCUUUGUAAUGUCUAUGUUUUCCGGUUUUCACUAUUUAUUUAUUUACGUACUUGGGAUUUUACUCACAAGCUGAUUAGUUAUCUAAACAUUAAAUUUCAUUUCCUUACUUAUUAUAACUUUAAUUCAUAAAGACAUACAUGCUAGUAAAAAAUUGCACAACACAUUCGAAAUAAGUUGCAAUUAUAAUCAAUGGUAAUAACUUGAUUCCAAAGAGAGAAGUUCGCUGAUAAAAAAAACCGUUUGUUGUUUAUUUCACAGGUUCAAAGUUCCAAUUUUUAUCGUCUUCAUAGUGCAUACGGAAUUCCUCGUGCUGACAAGGUGAAAAUGAAUGUUCUUUAGGAACGGCGUCUAAAGAAUCUUCUGGUUUUUGAAUUUUUUGGAAUAAUCGAAUAUCUACUCCAUGGGUUACCACUGCAAAGACCUUUUCGGGUACCUUGGCAAAGAAUUCUGCGAGGACACGUGAACGUUGAAUACUAGUUUUGUAAUCUGCUUUAUAUAUUUUUUCCUUCUUGGGAAAUACGGGAUCUUCAUGACAUGCUGUAUAGUCAUAACCAGGAAAUUGUUUCUCUAAAUCUUUUGUAUAUGAGCCAACAUUGCAGGCCCAAUCGCCGCAAUCUUGUAGAAGGGGGAUAACUUUCACUGGGAUAUGCUUAUCUUCAAUAUAAUGUUGAAAACCUAUUUUCAUUGUUUCUAGGGCCCGGCGCAUAGGAGAAACAAGUAUCAGUUCAAUUGGCAACUUUUCUGCAUCCAAAUCAUGUUGAAGUUGCAAAGCCUGUUUGCGUCCUUCAUCGUUUAGUAAAGGAUCAUGUUCGCGAUGAACGCCAUUUUCGUCAACAUCAUGAGAAACUUGACCAUGUCGAACAAAAUAAAUGGUUUUAUCGAUUCCUUUAGAUGCCAUUAUAAGAGUAAAAUGCUUUUUUUUAUUAUUAGAAGGAACUUACAAAAUAACGCUGCUGGCAAUUGAGGGUAUUGUAGUGUUACAAGUAUUGAAAGUACUGAUCAUAAAGUGCAGGAAGGCCCUACAAAUAUAAGGCAGAGACAGAGCUAUGAAAAGAAUAAAUACCGAAUAAGGAGUAUGACACUAUCGAGAUAGUUUGCUUCUUCAAUUACCAAAUCCGGAAUCUGUCGUUUACGUUUUGGCAUGUCAUUUCAUGUUUUAACGUAAGAAUGAUGCUAUGCUGUAUUUAACAGAACAUCUUCGAACCCGAAAAUUUUCAUAUGAUUGUAUAGCAAUCCUUAGUGCUAUGUAUAUUCAAUUAUUCACUAUAUCUAGGAGAAAUAAAGAAACUGUUUUCCUUUGUAACUU